Long non-coding RNA from Cryptotermes secundus, 392 nucleotides. RefSeq lists it as uncharacterized. The transcript has 2 exons. Lineage: Eukaryota; Metazoa; Arthropoda; Insecta; Blattodea; Kalotermitidae. The record is from RefSeq and is a predicted model, not a curated record.
UGAAGUCGUCCAAUUUAAACUAAAGAUUAAAUUGGAAUAUUAAGAGCUAGACUUGGUGUAAACAACUGACACUCAUAUCCCUGCGGCACGGAAUAGUGGUGACACAGUGUCAGUUGUUACAUGCAGCCAAAAUAAAUAUAUAUUAUCAGCAAAGGAUGCCGCUCAUCGUAUGAAAUAUUACACUUCGCAGCUGCAUUCCAGCGAGGUCUCAGGAACCGUUGGGAAUAUCGCUGGACCAGCGGCUUCGAAGAUGUAAUUGUAAAAGGUUAUUGGAGGAUUUGAAACGUGUUUCUGCAUAUGGUAAAACGUUUAACAGUGUGUAAAUGUAAUGUGUGUAAUCCCUACGGACAGAAGUGUUUCAGCCUAUGAUAAUAAACAGUGAGUAAUUGUAA